CAGUGGGGAAUUUUGGACAAUGGGCGCAAGCCUGAUCCAGCAAUGCCGCGUGAGUGAAGAAGGCCUUCGGGUUGUAAAGCUCUUUUGUCAGGGAAGAAACGGCUGAGGAUAAUACCUUUGGCUAAUGACGGUACCUGAAGAAUAAGCACCGGCUAACUACGUGCCAGCAGCCGCGGUAAUACAUAGGGUGCAAGCGUUAAUCGGAAUUACUGGGCGUAAAGCGUGCGCAGGCGGUUUUGUAAGUCUGACGUGAAAUCCCCGGGCUCAACCUGGGAAUUGCGUUGGAGACUGCAAGGCUGGAGUCUGGCAGAGGGGGGUAGAAUUCCACGUGUAGCAGUGAAAUGCGUAGAGAUGUGGAGGAACACCGAUGGCGAAGGCAGCCCCCUGGGUCAAGACUGACGCUCAUGCACGAAAGCGUGGGGAGCAAACAGGAUUAGAUACCCUGGUAGUCCACGCCCUAAACGAUGUCUACUAGUUGUCGGGUCUUAAUUGACUUGGUAACGCAGCUAACGCGUGAAGUAGACCGCCUGGGGAGUACGGUCGCAAGAUUAAAACUCAAAGGAAUUGACGGAAGCC
Molecule: ribosomal RNA, 576 nt
Filed under: uncultured bacterium
Lineage: Bacteria
Description: bacterial SSU rRNA
Rfam family: Bacterial small subunit ribosomal RNA
Source: RNAcentral